RNAcentral lists this ribosomal RNA (500 nucleotides) under uncultured bacterium. RNAcentral's name for it is "bacterial SSU rRNA". It matches the Rfam family "Bacterial small subunit ribosomal RNA", at positions 8 to 503 of the family's 1533-position model. The record is from RNAcentral.
AGAGUUUGAUCCUGGCUCAGAUUGAACGCUGGCGGCAGGCCUAACACAUGCAAGUCGAGCGGUAGAGAGAAGCUUGCUUCUCUUGAGAGCGGCGGACGGGUGAGUAAUGCCUAGGAAUCUGCCUGAUAGUGGGGGAUAACGUUCGGAAACGGACGCUAAUACCGCAUACGUCCUACGGGAGAAAGCAGGGGACCUUCGGGCCUUGCGCUAUCAGAUGAGCCUAGGUCGGAUUAGCUAGUUGGUGAGGUAAUGGCUCACCAAGGCUACGAUCCGUAACUGGUCUGAGAGGAUGAUCAGUCACACUGGAACUGAGACACGGUCCAGACUCCUACGGGAGGCAGCAGUGGGGAAUAUUGGACAAUGGGCGAAAGCCUGAUCCAGCCAUGCCGCGUGUGUGAAGAAGGUCUUCGGAUUGUAAAGCACUUUAAGUUGGGAGGAAGGGCAUUAACCUAAUACGUUAGUGUUUUGACGUUACCGACAGAAUAAGCACCGGCUAACUC